Molecule: transfer RNA, 72 nt
Filed under: Ovis aries (sheep)
Lineage: Eukaryota; Metazoa; Chordata; Mammalia; Artiodactyla; Bovidae
Rfam family: tRNA
About the family: Transfer RNA (tRNA) molecules are approximately 80 nucleotides in length.
Source: Rfam by way of RNAcentral
UCCCUGAUGGUCCAAUGGUGAAGACCUUGCCUUCCAAUGCAGGGGGUGUAGGUUCAAUCCCUAGUCGGGGAG